AUAAGUAUGUGAAUUGCAGAAUUCAGUGAAUCAUCGAAUCUUUGAACGCACCUUGCGCUCCUUGGUAUUCCGAGGAGCAUGCCUGUUUGAGUGUCAUGUAAUCCUCAAUCCCCUUUAGUUUUUACUGACUGGGAUUGGAUCUUGGAGGUUGCUGGUUGAUUCUUCAAUCAGCUCCUCUUAAAUGCAUUAGUGUGAACCCUUGCUCAAGUGUUCUCCAGUGUAAUAAUUAUUUGCGCUGCUAGAGACUUGGCAUUUACAGUGAUUCAUGCUUCCAAUCAUCCCUUGUGGGAUAACAUACUUUGCAUUUGACCUCAAAUCAGGUAGGACUACCCGCUGAACUUAAGCAUAUCAAUAAGCGGAGGAAAAGAAACUAACAAGGAUUCCCCUAGUAACUGCGAGUGAAGCGGGAAAAGCUCAAAUUUAAAAUCUGACAGUCUUUGGCUGUCCGAGUUGUAAUCUGGAGAAGUGUUUUCCGCGCUGGACCGUGUACAAGUCUCUUGGAACAGAGCGUCAUAGAGGGUGAGAAUCCCGUCUUUGACACGGACUACCAGUGCUUUGUGAUGCGCUUUCAAAGAGUCGAGUUGUUUGGGAAUGCAGCUCAAAAUGGGUGGUAAAUUCCAUCUAAAGCUAAAUAUUGGCGAGAGACCGAUAGCGAACAAGUACCGUGAGGGAAAGAUGAAAAGCACUUUGGAAAGAGAGUUAAACAGUACGUGAAAUUGCUGAAAGGGAAACGCUUGAGUCAGUCGCGUUGUUCAGAACUCAGCCUUACUUUUGUUUGGUGUAUUUUCUGUUCGACGGGCCAGCAUCAAUUUUGACCAUUGGAAAAGGGCCAGAGGAAUGUGGCACCUUCGGGUGUGUUAUAGUCUUUGGUCGCAUACAAUGGUUGGGAUUGAGGAUCUCAGCAUGCCUUUUGGCCGGGGUUCGCCCACGUUCAUGCUUAGGAUGCUGGCGUAAUGGCUUUAAACGACCNGUCUUGAAACACGGACCAAGGAGUCUAACAUGCCUGCGAGUGUUUGGGUGGAAAACCCGAGCGCGUAAUGAAAGUGAAAGUUGGGAUCCCUGUCGUGGGGAGCACCGACGCCCGGACCAGACCUUCUGUGACGGCUCCGCGGUAGAGCAUGUAUGUUGGGACCCGAAAGAUGGUGAACUAUGCCUGAAUAGGGUGAAGCCAGAGGAAACUCUGGUGGAGGCUCGUAGCGAUUCUGACGUGCAAAUCGAUCGUCAAAUUUGGGUAUAGGGGCGAAAGACUAAUCGAACCAUCUAGUAGCUG
This 1270-nucleotide ribosomal RNA is filed under the name Hyphoderma litschaueri. RNAcentral describes it as "eukaryotic LSU rRNA". The stretch from base 307 to 1270 matches the Rfam family "Eukaryotic large subunit ribosomal RNA", at positions 1 to 953 of the family's 3401-position model. Lineage: Eukaryota; Fungi; Basidiomycota; Agaricomycetes; Polyporales; Hyphodermataceae. The record is from RNAcentral.